UAAAGAGAUAGAUUUUCAUUUUAAUUUUUUUUUUUAAUAAUAUUAUUUUAUUCUCAGUAAUUAAUAUUAUUAAUUAAAGAAAUUUAUAAAUAGUAAUUUUUUUUAGUAUUGGUUGAAUUUGUGCCAGCAUCCGCGGUUAUACAAAUAAUGCAAGUAAAUUUUUAUUAGUAGUAAUUAAAUUGUUUAUAUUUGUAUUAUAUUUCAUUAAAUUUAUUAGGUGAAAUUUAUAAAUUUAAUAAUUAUCUAAUUGAAAAUUAAUUGAAGUUAAGAAAUUUUAAAUAAAAACUAGGAUUAGAUACCCUAUUAUUUAAAAUUUAAAUAUAAAAACUUAGGUAGUAAUAGUUAUGAUCUUGAAACUUAAAAAAUUUGGCGGUAUUUUAGACUAUUCAGAGGAACCUGUUUUAUAAUCGAUAAUCCACGUUGGACCUUACUUAAAUUUGUUAAUCAGUUUAUAUACCGUCGUUAUAAGAAUAUUUUAUAAAAAUAAUAAUUUUCUAUAAUUUUAAUAAAAUUUAUAUCAGAUCAAGGUGUAGUUUAUGUUUAAGUAAAAAUGGGUUACAUUUUAGUUAUAAUUGAAUUUAAAUAUGUAAAAUUUAAUAAAAUUGGAUUUGAAUGUAAAAUUAUAAAGAUUAAUAAUUUGAUUUUAGCUCUAAAAUAUGUACAUAUCGCCCGUCGCUCUUAUUAUUAAAAUAAGAUAAGUCGUAACAUAGUAGAUGUACUGGAAAGUGUAUCUAGAAUGA
Molecule: ribosomal RNA, 740 nt
Filed under: Meromyza saltatrix
Lineage: Eukaryota; Metazoa; Arthropoda; Insecta; Diptera; Chloropidae
Description: 12S ribosomal RNA
Source: RNAcentral